CGCUCAUAAAUACCCACUUACCCAAAAGAAACACCAAAAAAUAAAAACCCACUUCCAACCCCUCCCUCUCUUCUCCUCUUUCAAGUCUAAAACGAUCAGAACAGAACCCUUCUCUCUCGGCUCCCCACUGUAACUGUCUUUCGUGCUCUCUCUCCUCUCUCUUACCAGGUUGCAUCAGUCUGAUGAACCAAGGCAUCAGUGAGGAACCAGGGCACUAAAUUUCUCUCCUUGAUAUCCUGUCCUGAAAAAGGAAAUUUCCUGCAUUCGGUUGCGGGGAAAUUUUCUGAGAAACGGAAAGAAGAUCAAGAUGGAAAAGAAUCCGAGGGAAAAUGCCUUGGCCUACGUACUGAAUCAAGUACAAGGAGUCAAACAUUUCAAGGAUGCUCAAGAGAAGUUAAAAAAGAGCAUAUAUGAUAGAGGCUUUCUUCUCUUCAAAAAGGUUAGAGAGAAACUUGGUAAAGACAAGUUCGUCGAAUUCCUAAAGCAACUGCAAAGGUAUAGCAAUGGAAUUAUAGAUUUGACGGAGUUUUUAAACUUGGUGGACGAUGCAGUUCGAGACGAUCAAGAUCUUAUGAACGACAUUGAUGCUUUUUUGGAGCAUUGUGAUAAGGAGCAGAUGAAUUGGUCGCUUAGGAAUGAAAGUUGACUCUUAACAAGUUUUGUUGUAGUUAGUUCCAUUCACCAUUUUAUGAACUUGUGGAUUUUGAAGGUGUGAAUUUGUUCAACUUCUCUUUUCUGCUGUAACAUUUGAACCAAGCUUUUCGUCGGUCUUUGUAUUUUUGUAUA
Prunus mume (Japanese apricot) is the source of this 786-nucleotide long non-coding RNA. RefSeq lists it as uncharacterized. NCBI's taxonomy places the organism in Eukaryota, Viridiplantae, Streptophyta, Magnoliopsida, Rosales, Rosaceae. The record is from RefSeq and is a predicted model, not a curated record.